GAUGCUGAAAGUUCAAUCCCUAACUCUGGUGUUAUGUCUCACGAAUAUGAAAUACAAAUAAUAGUCGAUUUUCAUGUCUCUUUCAACAAGCAAUUGGGAAUCAAUUGUGAUGACCCAGUUUCUAGAUUAGUAUUUAAAGACCUUCUGAUGCGAUUAAAAACAUCUGAGGAGAUUGAUAAUUUCGUUCUUCAUGAGGACCUCGAUGGAUUUGGGGAUUUUGAUUCCGACGAAGAAUUUGUGGAGAUACUCCUGGAAGAUCAAAUCCGAUGGAUAUUGUUGGGGUUACUGAGGUAUGUAGUGGAUCUUAAGCUUAUGAGUUGGAAUAUUAGGGGUCUGAAUGAUGAUCUCAAUGUUCAAGCUGUUAGAAAUGCUAUUAGGAAGAAUAGAGUUUUUCUUUGCACUAUUCAAGAAUCCAAGAUGGAAUGUGUUUCUGAUUCGAUAGUGAGAUCAUUAUGGGGUAGCAAUAAUUGUGAAUAUGCAUAUUUGCCAUCUAUAAGAAGGUCUGGUGGCAUAAUUUUUCUGUGGAAUGUGGGGGAAUUAGUUAUGGAAGAAUCUCUAUUCACUUCUAUAUAUGGUGCUUCGGAUGCUUCAGGCUAUGCUCAGUUUUGGCAAGAAAUAACAUAUAUUAGGACAAUAAUGCAUGAACCAUGGUGUUUGGGUGGGGAUUGGAAUGCUAUUCUGUCACAAUCAGAGAGAAAUAGAGCAGGAGGAAAUACUAAUAACAGGAGAAGAUUUAGAAAUUUUCUAAAUGCUCAAAAUCUUAUGGAUCUUCCAAUGGCAGGAGGAAGAUUCACUUGGAAAAACUCCCAGAAUCCUUCACUUCUCUCAAGAUUAGACAGAUUUGUGGUUUCUGCGGAUUGGGAAGAUCUUUCCCUUCUUCAAUCCAGAAUGAAAAGACCUACUUUUGAUCAUGCUCCAGUUCUGCUAAGUUGCAAUUGAGGUAUUACUAUCAAAUCUCCUUUUAGGUAUGAAAAUUAUUUCUUGAUUCAUCCUGAUUCUUUGAAUUGUCUUAAAACUUGGUGGUCUAAUCUUACUUUUACUGGUAAACCAAGUUACAUUCUAGCAAAAAAAAUUACAAGGCCUUAAAUUUUUUAUCAAGAAGUGGGGUAGAGAAAACUUUGGUUCUCUUCAAGCUGAAGUUAACAGACUAGAAGAUCUUAUUGAUGUCAUGGAUAGUCUAGAAGAAAUAAAUUCUUUAUAUAAUGAGGAAUUUGAUGAAAGAGAGGAAUUCAUAUUCAAGCAUAAGUCUGCAUCGUUAAAUUUAUCUAGGAAAUGACAUGCUAGAGCCAAGGGUCAAUGGCUAGCUGAUGGUGAAAGGAAUUCAAGUUUUUUCCAUAAAAAUGCUUCAUGCAGAUACAAGGCUAAUGGUAUUAGUUCACUUACCAUCAAUGAGGAGAUGUGUAUUGAUAGAUAUGUAAUUAAUACAUAAGCUAAAAGGUUCUAUACUGAGUUAUUCACUGAAGAUACUCCUUUAAGACCAACUUUUGAUGAAUUAACUCUUCCUUCUCUUAGUGUGAAGUACAGUAUUUUGCCUCAAAAACCCUUUGAGGAGUCGGAAAUACAUAAUGUCAUCAAUUUUUCUGGUAGGAACAAGUCGCCAGGCCCUGAUGGUUACACUAUAUAUGGAGUUAUUCAAAGCCACUUGGGAGAUUAUUAAGCUGGAACUUCUAAAUGUGUUCAAUGAAUUUCAUACUUCUGGUACUUUGGAUUGGAGGCUAAAUUGCUGAUAAGCAUAAAGUACAACUGAAUUGGAUCAUCCGGAAAUAAAUGGCUGAAUUAGAAGCUAAAUCGGCUCUUGUAAAAGAGUAUUCCCAAGGCUGCUGCUCACAGCAUGAAAGGCAUUUGUUUAUUUGUGGUUGGCCUGGUAUUUAUAUAUCAGCACCACUAAAGUGUCACACGGACAAUUCAUUGUGGCAACCUCAUGAAUUAGGACUUGAAGUGGACUACUUGACACCUCUCCACCUCAUGUUAUCUAUGGAAGCAUCAGGAUAUUCUACUCCACCAAAAGAAAAGAAAGUCACAUUUUCCGUCUUAUCAAGCUGGUGAUAUUCGUCAUGCAAGAAAAGAGAUCCGAGCAACUGUUGUUACCAAAUCUUAACGGUGUUGGGAUGAUUCAGUUUCUGCAUAAUGGGUUUGAGACGGAAAUGAAGAUGAAUUUAUGGUAUCGUUUUAGCAGCUCUCGGUGGUAAGCAGGGAUGAAGUAAUGGGAAACAAUGGUUCUAAUCUCUCUGUCUUGGAUGUAAUUUUUGGGGUUGUUGUUGUUCGAAAUGAUCUUGGUAUGACAGUUGGUUAGAGAACAAGAAAGUGUUGUAGCCGAGAUGGAGAAGGAACUGAAGUGUCCAGGGAAUAUAUGUUGAUGGCUUGGUCGGACUUAGGAAGGAGGCCUGAAUUUAGAAAGUGUUGAAUGGGAUGGCUUGAACUGGGGAUGAUCAUUGGUACUGUUUAAUCAGUGGUAGGAUGGCUGAAGUGUUGUUAAGUGGGUUUGCUGCUGACGGUGGCUUGAAUUUAUCAAGAAUGGAAGUGGUGAUGAAUAGAUGGUUGCAGUCGAUAGGAGUUGACUGAGAAGGCAACAAUAGCGUCGAUGGGGAUUUGGUUCAUGACGGCUAAAGACGCUGGGAGUCAAAUGAGUUUUGUUUAUUCACAACUUCAUUGAUUGCAACGAUGGAUGGAGCUGUACUGCCGGAAUUAAGCACUGGUGUUGUCGCCUGAGAAGGAUCCUGCAUUGGUUUUGUGGCUGGAAGGAAGAAACAAGGAAGGUGAUGCAGAUGAUGCAGCUCGAUGUUAACUCAAUGCUGUGUUUGUCAUUGAUUUUAUCGGUGCUGCGCAGUCGUGGCUCAGGUAGACAAAGAGUUGUGUCCAGAUUUAAGAAUGAGAAGUUCACAAUGUUAGAGAAAAUGAGUUUAUAAAAUAGUUUGGUUUUUGGUCUUGGUGGGAUUGGAACUUAGGAUCUAUUGGUCACUAAGGACACUAGAUCAUUUUGACUAGUUGUGAAUGAACCUUUAG
This is an RNA transcript of Papaver somniferum (opium poppy), 3003 nucleotides long. RefSeq lists it as uncharacterized. The record is from RefSeq and is a predicted model, not a curated record. The transcript has 2 exons. Lineage: Eukaryota; Viridiplantae; Streptophyta; Magnoliopsida; Ranunculales; Papaveraceae.